AUUGGUGUUAUCUCCACUCUGAUAGGUAUUACUACCUUUAUUUGAUAAAUAUGAAAAUGGUAUCAAAGAACCCCAGCGAUCUAUCAAAAAACUUCCAGCUAGUCAGCGGUAGAAUUACAGAUGUUAAUCCAGUGCACAUUUCACACCUCAAGGAUAUUGCUUCAAAUCUGGUAUUGAACACAGUUAUGAUGGCAUUUUUGGAAUUGAAUCUGGACAACGUAACAAAAAUCUCUACGACGUGGAAGAGAACACCAAUUAAUUUAAAUGACUUUCCUUGGGGCUCACUGAUCAUCCUGCUGUGCCAAGUACAUUAUUAAUGUUCAGAUGAAUUGGCCAAAACAUUCUAUAUUCAGCAAUUCAUUACUGGAAACUAAUGAUUUCCAUUAUCUGGUUGUACCAUAUCUUCGUCUGUUUUAUGCAGCUAUGACAGAAUAUGUGAGGCCGGAUAAAUGAUGAAGGACAGACGUUGGUUUCUCACUGUUCCUGAGACCGAGAUAUUCAAGGUCAAGUUACUAGCAGGAUUGGUGUGUCUGGUGAGAGUCAAGAUUUCAUUUCCAAGAUGGUGCCUAGAAUGUUCUAUUCUUCACAGGGAAAGGACAAAAGAGAGAGAGAGAAAAGGGGGUUGAACUUGUUCUUUUAUAAGGUCAUCAAUCCCACGCCCGAGGGCAGAAUCCUCAUGGCCCGAUCACCACUUUUUUCCCAUAUUUUUAAAUUGAUGCAUUAUAAUUACACAUAAUAGCGAGGGUCAUUGUUCCUUAUUUGUACACGCACAUGAUAUAACAAUAAAACAUGGCCCAGCAUC
Molecule: long non-coding RNA, 802 nt
Organism: Ictidomys tridecemlineatus (thirteen-lined ground squirrel)
Lineage: Eukaryota; Metazoa; Chordata; Mammalia; Rodentia; Sciuridae
Source: RefSeq, a predicted model, not a curated record